AUUGAACGCUGGCGGCAGGCUUAACACAUGCAAGUCGAGCGAGCGGCGGACGGGUGAGUAAUGUCUGGGAAACUGCCUGAUGGCGGGGGAUAACUCCUGGAAACGGUAGCUAAUACCGCAUACCAUCAGAUGUGCCCAGAUGGGAUUAGCUAUUAGGUGGGGUAAUGGCUCACCUAGGCGACGAUCCCUAGCUGGUCUGAGAGGAUGACCAGCCACACUGGAACUGAGACACGGUCCAGACUCCUACGGGAGGCAGCAGUGGGGAAUAUUGCACAAUGGGCGCAAGCCUGAUGCAGCCAUGCCGCGUGUGUGAAGAAGGCCUUCGGGUUGUAAAGCACUGUUAGCGAGGAGGCGUUACUCGAAGAAGAAGCACCGGCUAACUCCGUGCCAGCCGCCGCGGUAAUAC
RNAcentral lists this ribosomal RNA (406 nucleotides) under uncultured bacterium. RNAcentral describes it as "partial 16S ribosomal RNA". It matches the Rfam family "Bacterial small subunit ribosomal RNA", at positions 30 to 526 of the family's 1533-position model. The record is from RNAcentral.